AUGCUUUCCGCCAGAGAACUACAAGUGAAAAACUUAAAACUCAAAGGACUUGGCGGUGUCCCACAUCGAUCUAGAGGAGCCUGUCCUAUAAUCGAUACCCCUCGCUCAACCCAACCUUAAUUAGCCACAUUCAGCCUAUAUACCGCCGUCGACAGUCUACCCCAUGAGGGUCCAACAGUAGACACAAUAGCCCCCGCUAGAACGUCAGGUCAAGGUGUAGCAGAUAUUAAGGAAGAGAUUGGCUACAUUUUUUAACUUAAAAAACUACGAAAUGCAUCAUGAAACCCUGCAUAAAGGUGAAUUUAGCAGUAAACUAGACAAGAGAGUCUAGUUAAACUUCGCCCUGGGACGCG
RNAcentral lists this ribosomal RNA (353 nucleotides) under Meroles suborbitalis. Its description in RNAcentral is "partial 12S ribosomal RNA". It matches the Rfam family "Bacterial small subunit ribosomal RNA", at positions 862 to 1383 of the family's 1533-position model. Lineage: Eukaryota; Metazoa; Chordata; Lepidosauria; Squamata; Lacertidae. The record is from RNAcentral.